GACGAACGCUGGCGGCGUGCCUAAUACAUGCAAGUCGAGCGGACUUUUGGGAGCUUUCUCCCAAAAGUUAGCGGCGGUCGGGUGAGUAACACGUGGGCAACCUGCCUAUAAGACUGGGAUAACUUCGGGAAACCGGAGCUAAUACCGGAUAAUUCCUUUCCUCUCAUGAGGGAAGGCUGAAAGACGGUUUCGGCUGUCACUUAUAGAUGGGCCCGCGGCGCAUUAGCUAGUUGGUGAGGUAACGGCUCACCACGGCGACGAUGCGUAGCCGACCUGAGAGGGUGAGCGGCCACAGUGUGACUGAGACACGGCACAGACUCCUACGUGAGGCAUCAGUAGGGAAUCUUCCGCAAUGGACGGAAGUCUGACGGAGCAACGCCGCAUGAGUGAUGAAGGUUUUCGGAUCGUAAAACUCUGUUGUUAGGGAAGAACAAGUACGAGAGUAACUGCUCGUACCUUGACGGUACCUAACCAGAAAGCCACGGCUAACUACGUGCCAGCCGCCGCUGUAA
This 512-nucleotide ribosomal RNA is filed under the name uncultured bacterium. Its description in RNAcentral is "partial 16S ribosomal RNA". It matches the Rfam family "Bacterial small subunit ribosomal RNA", at positions 28 to 523 of the family's 1533-position model. The record is from RNAcentral.